RNAcentral lists this ribosomal RNA (482 nucleotides) under uncultured bacterium. RNAcentral's name for it is "partial 16S ribosomal RNA". It matches the Rfam family "Bacterial small subunit ribosomal RNA", at positions 30 to 507 of the family's 1533-position model. The record is from RNAcentral.
AUUGAACGCUGGCGGCAUGCCUUACACAUGCAAGUCGAACGGUAACGGGCCUUCGGGUGCCGACGAGUGGCGCACGGGUGAGUAAUACAUCGGAACGUGCCCGAUCGUGGGGGAUAACGAGGCGAAAGCUUUGCUAAUACCGCAUACGAUCUACGGAUGAAAGCAGGGGACCGCAAGGCCUUGCGCGGACGGAGCGGCCGAUGGCAGAUUAGGUAGUUGGUGGGAUAAAAGCUUACCAAGCCGACGAUCUGUAGCUGGUCUGAGAGGAUGAUCAGCCACACUGGGACUGAGACACGGCCCAGACUCCUACGGGAGGCAGCAGUGGGGAAUUUUGGACAAUGGGCGCAAGCCUGAUCCAGCCAUGCCGCGUGCAGGAUGAAGGCCUUCGGGUUGUAAACUGCUUUUGUACGGAACGAAAAGCCUUCUUUUAUUACAGGAGGGUCAUGACGGUACCGUAAGAAUAAGCACCGGCUAACUACGUG